This 482-nucleotide ribosomal RNA is filed under the name uncultured bacterium. RNAcentral describes it as "bacterial SSU rRNA". It matches the Rfam family "Bacterial small subunit ribosomal RNA", at positions 30 to 507 of the family's 1533-position model. The record is from RNAcentral.
AUUGAACGCUGGCGGCAUGCCUUACACAUGCAAGUCGAACGGUAACAGGUCUUCGGAUGCUGACGAGUGGCGAACGGGUGAGUAAUACAUCGGAACGUGCCCGAUCGUGGGGGAUAACGCAGCGAAAGCUGUGCUAAUACCGCAUACGAUCUACGGAUGAAAGCGGGGGAUCGCAAGACCUCGCGCGGACGGAGCGGCCGAUGGCAGAUUAGGUAGUUGGUGGGAUAAAAGCUUACCAAGCCGACGAUCUGUAGCUGGUCUGAGAGGACGACCAGCCACACAGGGACUGAGACACGGCCCAGACUCCUACGGGAGGCAGCAGUGGGGAAUUUUGGACAAUGGGGGAAACCCUGAUCCAGCCAUGCCGCGUGCAGGAUGAAGGCCUUCGGGUUGUAAACUGCUUUUGUACGGAACGAAACGGUCUGCCCUAAUACGGCGGGCUAAUGACGGUACCGUAAGAAUAAGCACCGGCUAACUACGUG